AAGGGUUCGUCGGAUAACUGGUGAUGUUAUAUCGAGAGUGUAAUUUGAGGAGGAUCAGAGCGAAAGGAUUUCUCUUGGGGGAGGCUAACGGAAAGCUCAGUGGCCGUGAUUAACCGCAGCCUAUGCACCCACGGAUCUAGGGCAUUAAAGACAUUUCAAAGCCAUACUGGUGUAACGUGGAAGUCAGGCGGUCCAUGCGGCGGUCCCUGAUUCGUAAAAAUUUAGAUACGAGUAGGCUCAUUCGCGUUGGAUUGAAGCCUCUUUCCUAAUUGGAGUCUUCUGGAGAGAAAGGGUUCGUCGGAUAACUGGUACACACGCAGUGGGCUGCACAAGAGAGGAAAAUACAGAAACAGAGGAAUCAGAAACAAAGAAAACAUAAACAGUGUCACCCCAGAAAGCAAAUCUCAGUCCACAUAUACAAACACUUACUGGUAUGCCAAGUUUCACUUAUGAUUCCUUUAUGUGUUGCCUUUCUGUGCCCCAAAAGUUUGUGUCUUUGCACUUUUCCCUAUUCGAUGCGUUUUUUGUUUCAUAUUUUUUUGAUCGUAUUUCGAGCUCAAUGCAUUUCAAUCUGCUCAAUUUUAGUUUUUUGGUUUAGGGUUUAGGGUUCCACACCCUGCCUUGAUCCUUUUAUAUGUAGAUUUAUCAAUCUCUCGUUUAUGGAUUUAGUAUUGAUUCAUGUCCGUCCUCACUCCUGCUGUCGUUUUGUUUAGCAUUAAUUGGGGUUCAAAUGGGUUUAUGUUAAUGGGAUCGUUUAUUGUGUUUCCUUUGAUAAUUUACAAAUUAUUAUGUUUUGUCCAAUUUGAGACGGAAUGCUAUCUUUUUUUCUUUCUUUUUUUUUCCCAAUUCGGGAUUGACCAUAAAAAUUUUAUCUUUGAUUUGAAACGCGAUUGUUUAAAAUUUGUAUUUGUUUUACUGGACAUUUUUACUAUUGGUUCUACUCUGCAAUUUUCUCUUGUCUAGCUAUCUUCCACUUUUCUAGAUGUUGUAGAAAGGUGGAAUAAUGAGGAAAUAUUGCAAAAUUCAUCUUAAUUCAACCAAUUAAUACUCUGGUUCCAACACAAUCUCAGUGGAUUUAUAAUUUUUUUUCAUUUUUAUUCUUUUUUUUUCCAGGAUUCAAUGCAAUGGAAAGUUUAGGUUUUUAUGUUUCAUUUUUCCUUGUUUCUACUCUGAUUCCUCAUCCAACAAUUCGAGCAACAAAAAUUAGUUGGUCUGUCCUCAAGGCAUGUGUCAUAUUUGACGUAGAAGUAAUUUGGCAAGUUCUCAUAACUGCUGCUCCUUUUAGCAGCUAAAUUUUGUAGCUUCCCAGUUUCUACCUGACACAUGGGUAGUUUUUCAAACUUUGCAUGUCCUCCCAGCCUUAUGUUCCUCUUU
RNAcentral lists this unclassified non-coding RNA (1374 nucleotides) under Hevea brasiliensis (rubber tree). Lineage: Eukaryota; Viridiplantae; Streptophyta; Magnoliopsida; Malpighiales; Euphorbiaceae. The record is from RNAcentral.